This 3042-nucleotide ribosomal RNA is filed under the name Triticum aestivum (bread wheat). RNAcentral's name for it is "partial small subunit ribosomal RNA". The record is from RNAcentral. Lineage: Eukaryota; Viridiplantae; Streptophyta; Magnoliopsida; Poales; Poaceae.
AUGGUAUCAGAUACCCGCGACCAGAACCCUUUUUCUCCGGUCGCCGAUUCCGCUUCCGCCAUGGACGACAACCCCGUCCUCUCCCCUCGUUCCUCUGUCGACGGUGCGGCCGGCGUCCUCAACGCCGCUCCUCUCCAGCACGUCGACCCACCCGCGCCGGCCGCGCCCGCCGCGCCACCUCCCUCCUUUCCCUCCGCCAUCCUCCAGACCGUCGACAUCCGUCGCCAUGUUCCUGUCAUCCUCGAUCUCCUCGCCGGCAACCACGCUCAGUGGCGGCGCCACUUCGACACGGUGCUUGGCAUGUUCGCCCUACGUGCGCACGUCGACGCCGAGGCGGUUCCACGCCCCACCGACCCCGAGUGGCAGAUGGCCGACCACACCGUCAUCCACUGGCUGUAUGCCACCAUCUCGCCGGAGCUCCUCGAUGCGAUCAUGCAGCCCGAGGACACGGCCCGCACCGUGUGGCUCGCCGUCGACGAGCUCUUCCGCAACAACCAGAUGGCCCGCGCGGUGUACGUCGACGCUGAGUACCACGCCAUCGUCCAGGGCGACAUGACGGUGAUGCAAUUCUGCACCAAGCUCAAGACCUUCGCCGACCAACUCCGUGAUCUGGGCCAGCCGGUAACUGACCCACGGCAGGUCUUCCAUCUCCUCCGCGGCCUCAACCGCCAGUACCACGCCGUCAUCCCGCACAUCACCUGCCAGAACCCGCUCCCGACGUUUCUCCAGGUGCGCUCCUUCCUUCUUUUGGAGGAGCAUCGUGCUGAGCAGGCGGCUCGGCAGCAGUCUGCCCACGCUCUCUACGCUGGGCGCGGCUCCCCCGCACCUACUACACCAACUCCUUCGCCGCUUGCAGACGCCGCGCGUGGCCGUGGCCGCUCGCGCCGUCGCGGCCGCGGGAACGGCAACGCCCCUGCACCACCCACUGGCGCGCCACCGCGUCCACCUACCUACCCGCGCCGGCUCCUGGUGCCAACUCCUAGACGGGGCUCGUCCAGGCCUGGCCCACGCCCUGGCGCGCUCCGGGCGCCGGCAUCCUCGGACCGCGCCCCGGCACGCCUCACCAGCAGGCCAUGUUCGCUGCGCCUAUGCCGCCCGGCUACGGCGCCCCUGGUGGACCGCCUCCUGGCUACGGCUAUCCUGGCGGCCCCUUCCAUGGCUAUGGCUCCCCGGGCGCCAGCUCGUCCACCGCGCCGUCGCCUCAGCCAUGGGACAUGCAGUCCCUCCAGGCGGUGCUCCACAGUGCCACGGCCGGGCCUUCUUCGUCGGGCAUGGCUUCCGAAUGGUACCUCGACUCCGGGGCCUCCUCUCACAUGUCCUCAUCGCCUGGACCUUCGAACCAAGGUGGUGAUCCUCCGAUGUGACUCUGACGGUGAUCUCUACUCUGUUGGUCGCCCGACGCUCCCCUCGCGUUCGGCCUUCGCCGGUUUCGUCGACUCCACCUUGUGGCAUCAGCGGCUCGGGCACGCUUCGCUCCGUCUGGGCGCCGAUCUUCUUAGCUUCAGCAAGUCCACCCCCCAUUCGUGUCAUGCAUGUAGUUUGGGCAAGAACGUCCGCCUGCCAUUUAGCAGCUCUACCAGCACCAGCAUGUUUCCCUUUCAUGUACUGCAUCUUGAUGUAUGGACAUCUCCUGUUGCGAGCAUCUCUGGCUAUCAGUUUUAUUUGGUUGUGCUAGAUGACUACACACAUUACGUGUGGAUGUUUCCCCUCAAACACAAAUCGGAAGUGCUCCCUGUUUUGCUUGAUUUCUACGCUUAUGUCAAAACACAGUUUCAGCUUCCUGUUUUCUCGCUCCAAACCGACAACGGGCGUGAAUUCGACAAUGCUGCCGUUCGGUCUCUCCUUAGUCGCCACGGCACUCAUCUCCGGCUCUCGUGUCCUUACACAAGCCAGCAGAACGGGAAGUCCGAGCGCAUCCUCUGGACGCUCAAUGACAGUGUGCGUGCUCUCCUCUUUCAUGCAUCCAUGCCGGCGCGUUUUUGGGUCGAAGCCCUCAACACAGCCACCUAUCUUCUCAAUCGCCGGCCAUGUCAUGCUAGCACACCACGCACGCCCCAUGAGCUUCUCCUAGGUGUCGCUCCUGACUACUCCCUCCUACGCGUCUUCGGGUGCCUAUGCUAUCCAAACCUCACUGCCACGGCCAAACACAAACUUGCUCCUCGCUCCACCGCGUGUAUCUUUCUUGGCUACCCGUCUGACCAUCGCGGUUAUCGGUGUUUCGACCCCACGACGCGCCGCAUGCUCACGUCUCGCCAUGUGCGCUUCCACGAGUCGAUCUUCCCCUUCGCCACACAACCCACAGUUAACCCCGCCGCUCCACCACCGCCUGCGUUUGCUCCUCCCGUUUUGCAGGUUCCUAUGGGUGAGCGGCGCCUCCGUAAUCGCGCGCUGUGCUCUUCUCCACGCAUGGCUGCUGGCUCGUCGCCGGUGCGCUCCACGUCGAGUGCCUCGCGCGCGCAUGCCGCGCGUUCAAACUCGCCCGCUGGAUCUCCAUCGGACGGCUCGGGCGCGGACCCACGCCCCCUCGCCAUGCAGUCACGUAGGAGCGCUAACCUGUCGGGCGCUGCCUCGACCUCGCGCUCCCGCCUCCCCGCCAUGCAGUCGCUGGGGGGCGUUGAUCCUUCGAUGGACGGCUCGGCUGCAACCUCCUGCUCCACCAGCGUCUCGCCUGCCUCCCCAGUGCGCUCUUCGUCGUCUUCCUCGCCCGCGGCUUCUCCUCCGGCCGCUCCUCCUGCAGCGCCCCGGCGGAUGGUCACGCGCGUGCAGACUGGCGUCUUCCGCCCCAAUCCGCGCUACCACAACAGCCUCGCCGCCACUACAAGCACGUCCGGCGAGGUUUCGCCGGUCCCUGCCUCCGUAGGCGUAGCCGUCCGCGACCCCAACUGGCUCGCCACCAUGCGUGAUGAGUUCACCGCCCUUGUGCGCAACCGCACCUGGGAGCUCGUGCCACGUCCGCCCGGCGCCAACCUCAUCACCGGCAAAUGGGUCUUCAAGCACAAGUACAACGCCGACGGCUCCCUCGAGCGCUACAAGGCCCGCUAG